This 1143-nucleotide long non-coding RNA is filed under the name Homo sapiens (human). Its description in RNAcentral is "HSALNT0291996". Lineage: Eukaryota; Metazoa; Chordata; Mammalia; Primates; Hominidae. The record is from RNAcentral.
AGAAAAGCUCCCGAAACUGAAGGACUGCCAGGCAGCAGAGUUCCGGAGGGCUCCCAGGACCUUCAACCAGAAAGAGACAGAGCAUAUGCGCAUAUGUAUGUCUGAGCCCGUGCACGGAGGAGGAGUAUGAACAGACACCGCGGGACAGAUGGCUGGAGUUUAGUCCCUUCCUUCGGGGCUCUUCACCACUCCUUGGGCUUCCCUUCUCCUGUCCAGCCCUGUCCUGGGUGCACAGAGAGGGAAGUCACUCCAUUCCUGCCCUUGAGGAGCUCCCAGACCCAGGGCAGGAGCAGGAUGCAGACAAGUAGACAGCACCCUGGGGUGGGUGGAGUGAGUGGGGCAGGUGGGGCGGGUGCAAAGAGAGGGAGGAGCAGGGGCUGAAGUUGCCCGGAGGAAGUGCUGAACCCAGGAGUGGGGAAAGGAGCAUCUGGGAAGAAAUGGCAUCUACGCUGAUCAUGGAGGGCUUUCUGGCAAGUCUCAGGAGCAAUAAUAACACGGAUGUCAUCUCUGUUUCCUCCCAGCAGCCCUGCAAGGAAUGUACUAUAGAGCCAAUUUUACCGGCAAAGGAAUGGAAGAUCUGAAAGGCUAGGCGAUCCCACAAGCAUCGAGGAGCAGGCUGGAAUUUGAACCAAUCGGCAUGAUUCCCAAGCUCAAGCUUUUGGCCACCCCUGCACUGCCAGGGACAAAAAAAAAAAAAAAAAAAAACCCUGGGAGGAGAGCCAAGCUAGGGAGUCAAGACCCUCCAGCCAGGUCUGGAUGGGAGGCAGGUGCCUCCACCCUGGUCCCAGAGCAAGUUCUGCUGGCUUCAGCCACCUGACUUCCCUGUGAAGGUGGGUAGAGGCCAGAGCAGACUGUGUGUGAUUCUGGCCCCAGCCCCAGCACCUCUACCCCCACCUUUACUACCCCUAGGCUGCGGGAAGAGGCUUUGCCCAGCAAUAGUCCUGAUCUAAUGGAUCCUUGAAGCACAAUAAACAGAUAGUAUUUCUGCAUGUGUCACUCUGAGUAUGACGGCAGUAAUCUUGAAACUCCCCUUGACCACCUGGCACUCUGGAGACGGAACUCCACAGCCUGUUUUCAAAGCCAACUCCUGGCUGGAAGUUCCUCUUCAAGUCUAAAUGAAGGACAACUGAGGGCAGAGCUGGG